AUGAGGAUAUUUGCUGUCCUUAUAUUCACGACCUACUGGCAUUUGCUGAAUGCAUUUACUGUCACGGUUCCCAAGGACCUAUAUGUGGUAGAGUAUGGCAGCAAUAUGACAAUUGAAUGCAAAUUCCCAGUAGAAAAACAAUUAGACCUGGCUGCACUAAUUGUCUAUUGGGAAAUGGAGGAUAAGAACAUUAUUCAAUUUGUGCAUGGAGAGGAAGACCUGAAGGUUCAGCAUAGUAGCUACAGACAGAGGGCCCGGCUGUUGAAGGACCAGCUCUCCCUGGGAAAUGCUGCACUUCAGAUCACAGAUGUGAAAUUGCAGGAUGCAGGGGUUUACCGCUGCAUGAUCAGCUAUGGUGGUGCUGACUACAAGCGAAUUACUGUGAAAGUCAAUGCCCCAUACAACAAGAUCAACCAAAGAAUUUUGGUUGUGGAUCCAGUCACCUCUGAACAUGAACUAACAUGUCAGGCUGAGGGCUACCCCAAGGCCGAAGUCAUCUGGACAAGCAGUGACCAUCAAGUACUGAGUGGAGAUUAGAUCCUGAGGAAAACCAUACAGCUGAAUUGGUCAUCCCAGAACUACCUCUGGCACAUCCUCCAAAUGAAAGGACUCACCUGGGAGAAUGAUGGAUGUGAAAAAAUGUGGCAUCCAAGAUACAAACUCAAAGAAGCAAAGUGAUACACAUUUGGAGGAGACGUAAUCCA
RNAcentral lists this small RNA (704 nucleotides) under Pongo abelii (Sumatran orangutan). RNAcentral's name for it is "processed transcript". Lineage: Eukaryota; Metazoa; Chordata; Mammalia; Primates; Hominidae. The record is from RNAcentral.